GGGCAAAUGUAAUAUAGCAUAUAAUCAUUAUUCAGUACAAUACAGCAAAAUGUGACGAAGAGAUUAAGGCGCCACAUCAUCUGAGCAAACCUUGCAAGACUGAAAUCCUUUCGGACAUAAUAAUAAGAAAAGUUCCCAAAUCCAGUCAUCCAUACAUAAGCAGCAAUAAAAACGCGGACUGCAUUAUAGAUCUCUCUGGCAUUGAAGUAGUGGUACAUUAGAAACAAUACCUGCAUCCACCCCUUCCAUUCCUCUGUCUGAUGCCUGUUCAGAUAAAGUAUCGAUUUUCCUGAUAAUGGUGAUUUAUCAUUGUGGGUCUUAAAAGAAGUCAUCGCUGCAACAAUGAUGAGUAGAAAGUAGAGGAAAAGAAACAUAUCCCUGCUGUAACUCUUAUUUGAUUCUCCUAGUAGAUCUGUGCGGUCGCAUAUGUAAAAGUAGACCAAAAUAACUCCAAAUUCAGACAUGGCUCUCAAUAUCAAUCGAUUAUCUAGCAAAAAUGUUUCAUCCAUCAUAACAAACCUAUAAAGGUACGAUGCUGCAGAUGAACUAUGAGCUUUCGGAGAUACUGCUUGAAGACCCCCCUCCAGUAACAGAGUUCUAUCAUCUCCCCUACUUGACUCAUUGUCCAAGACAACCAAGUUGAUGUCUGAAUUCCUGCCAGCUUUCAGAAUAGCCGAAUUCUUCCUGUACUCCAGUAACUCCGAAUACACCCAAGCCACAAACACCGGAAUGAACCCUAGCAGA
RNAcentral lists this unclassified non-coding RNA (744 nucleotides) under Hevea brasiliensis (rubber tree). Lineage: Eukaryota; Viridiplantae; Streptophyta; Magnoliopsida; Malpighiales; Euphorbiaceae. The record is from RNAcentral.